Molecule: ribosomal RNA, 757 nt
Filed under: uncultured Alcanivorax sp.
Lineage: Bacteria; Pseudomonadati; Pseudomonadota; Gammaproteobacteria; Oceanospirillales; Alcanivoracaceae
Description: bacterial SSU rRNA
Rfam family: Bacterial small subunit ribosomal RNA
Source: RNAcentral
AUUGAACGCUGGCGGCAGGCCUAACACAUGCAAGUCGAGCGGCAGCGGGAAGUAGCUUGCUACUUUGCCGGCGAGCGGCGGACGGGUGAGUAACGCGUGGGAAUCUACCCAUUUGUGGGGGAUAACUUGGGGAAACCCAAGCUAAUACCGCAUAAUCCCUACGGGGGAAAGCAGGGGACCUUUUGGCCUUGCGCAGAUGGAUGAGCCCGCGUCGGAUUAGCUAGUUGGUAGGGUAAAGGCCUACCAAGGCGACGAUCCGUAACUGGUCUGAGAGGAUGACCAGUCACAUCGGGACUGAGACACGGCCCGAACUCCUACGGGAGGCAGCAGUGGGGAAUCUUGGACAAUGGGGGCAACCCUGAUCCAGCCAUGCCGCGUGUGUGAAGAAGGCCCUAGGGUUGUAAAGCACUUUCAGUAGGGAGGAAGGCUUCGGGUUAAUACCCUGGAGUACUUGACGUUACCUACAGAAGAAGCACCGGCUAAUUUCGUGCCAGCAGCCGCGGUAAUACGAAAGGUGCGAGCGUUAAUCGGAAUUACUGGGCGUAAAGCGCGCGUAGGCGGUUAGUUAAGUCGGAUGUGAAAGCCCAGGGCUCAACCUUGGAACUGCAUCCGAUACUGGCUAGCUAGAGUGCAGUAGAGGGAGGUGGAAUUUCCGGUGUAGCGGUGAAAUGCGUAGAGAUCGGAAGGAACACCAGUGGCGAAGGCGGCCUCCUGGACUGACACUGACGCUGAGGUGCGAAAGCGUGGGGAGCAAACA